UGAGAGAGUGAACACUACAAACCGCUGGGGAAAACACAGGCUAAGUAGUGCUAUUAAAGAAAAUUUAAAAUUAGAUUUCAAUUUGGACAAAAUUAGAUUCCAAUCUCUGGCAGUAUUCAAAAAGCUAUACCAGAAGUACAAAGACAACUUUAAGAAAGUAAAGAGCCUAAAAACAGAAUUGGAGUAGUACAUAGUAGUACUUCCUGUAUUACUUUUUUUCUAGCAGCAGAAUUAUUUCACCUAAAAGCAUUAAAAUACAGAUUCAAACUGGUGACGGAGCCCGCCGUCACCUGUUGAACAGUACCUGAAUGGGGGAGUGAGGAUGAAGAAAAAGACAAAGAGAUAGAGCCGGGAGGGCUCCCAGAGAUCGAGUGCCCAAGUUUAUUUUUCACCUUUCUUUUAUACACUUGGUGAGUUUGGUCAUUAAUCAUGACCCUUAUCCAGAGACACCUACUUCCCUGUUCUCUAGUUCUUUGGAAAUUCCCCACCCUCAUGGGCUUCUUUGUUUCUCGGGGUUAUAGAACGUUCAUCGUGUUUCCAGGACAAUUUCUGAAGGUAAACAUUUAGGUUGGCAGGGACGCGGUUCCUCAUAACACAGUCUCCUUGCUCUAUGCAAUGGAGGGUAAGAUUUAAUAUGGAGCCUCUAUGGCUAACACCGCUCUCCACAUCUCCCCGUUUUAUAUAUUAUGACCAAGGUCCCUUGAUCACGCAGAUAGACUGUGCCUGUCUUAGGCGAGGAAUAUAAAGAAAUCUCUUACCCGUCAUCGAGUCAAGAG
Molecule: long non-coding RNA, 776 nt
Filed under: Heterocephalus glaber (naked mole-rat)
Lineage: Eukaryota; Metazoa; Chordata; Mammalia; Rodentia; Bathyergidae
Description: lncRNA (ENSHGLG00100040175.1)
Source: RNAcentral